Molecule: ribosomal RNA, 437 nt
Filed under: uncultured bacterium
Lineage: Bacteria
Description: bacterial SSU rRNA
Rfam family: Bacterial small subunit ribosomal RNA
Source: RNAcentral
UACGGAAGGCAGCAGUGGGGAAUAUUGGACAAUGGGCGAAAGCCUGAUCCAGCCAUGCCGCAUGAGUGAAGAAGGCCUUCGGGUUGUAAAGCUCUUUUAGUGAGAAAGAUAAUGACGGUACUCACAGAAGAAGUCCUGGCUAACUCCGUGCCAGCAGCCGCGGUAAUACGGAGAGGGCUAGCGUUAUUCGGAAUUAUUGGGCGUAAAGAGCGCGUAGGCUGAUUAGUAAGUUAAAAGUGAAAUCCCAAAGCUUAACUUUGGAAUUGCUUUUUAAAACUGCUAGUCUAGAGAUUGAAAGAGGAUAGAGGAAUUCCUAGUGUAGAGGUGAAAUUCGUAAAUAUUAGGAGGAACACCAGUGGCGAAGGCGUCUAUCUGGUUCAAAUCUGACGCUGAGGCGCGAAGGGCGUGGGGAGCAAACGAGGGAUUUAGAUACCCGU